AUAUCUCAUUAACUGCGGACACGGGACAAGAGAAUAGUGGAUCAGACUUAAAUGAGUUAAAAAAAUUUAUUUCCAGUUUAUGUAGCAGUGUUUGGUUAUAAUUUUUUUUUCUCCUCCCACUACUGCCACGUAUUUCCUUUCAUUUCCAGUCACUUUUCCAAGAAUAACUACAAAAACUCUCAACAAGAAACCAAAACCAUUAAAGGUAUGAUUUCCCAAUUUAAAUUCCUCAGACAUCAUCUGGCUACCUGAUCUCUAUCUAUGAUCUGGAUCUUUCGGCAAUUGCCACCGUUUAAUAGACAUUUUUCCCUUAAGUGACUUGCCCUUUCCGCUGGUUUAGUCGUUUGUUAUGUUAGAUAUGCCAGUCAUGUUUGGAAAACUAGAGCAGCCAGCCAACAUUCAGAUAGAUGUUAGUUCAAAAGGCAAUUAAAAGAAUAAAAGGUCAUUUUCUUAAGGCAAAAAAAGAAAAACAUCAAUUUUACCGGUUUCAACAACUAUGAUAAUGGUGAUGAUAAUAAUUCCUCCGCACACAUGAAAAAUGUUAUGCAGGAAGAAGGAGUGCAAUGAUGAUGAAGAUGAUGGCAAUGAUGAUGUU
Molecule: long non-coding RNA, 595 nt
Organism: Stomoxys calcitrans (stable fly)
Lineage: Eukaryota; Metazoa; Arthropoda; Insecta; Diptera; Muscidae
Exons: 3
Source: RefSeq, a predicted model, not a curated record